RNAcentral lists this microRNA (21 nucleotides) under Schmidtea mediterranea. Its description in RNAcentral is "Sme-Mir-1993-P7_3p (mature (guide))". The record is from RNAcentral. Lineage: Eukaryota; Metazoa; Platyhelminthes; Tricladida; Dugesiidae.
UAUUAUGCAAAUAUUCACAAU